GAUCAAGUUAUGAACCGUUUUCUGAAACUUCAUGAUUUCUGAGUCAUCUAUGAAUUAUAUGUUAAAUUAGAUUUUAUCUUGUUCCGAUUCAUGCGAUUCCAACUGGAUAUAAUUAUAAACUUAUAAAUAUGAUUCUUCGUGAAAUUUCAUGGUGUUUCGUUGAAAGAAUGAUUUAUUUGGUAUUUUUAAAGUUGAAUGCUCUGUUCUGAAAUUCUGCUGAUGUUGCUGUACUAAAUUAAUUAUUCCUCUUCC
This 252-nucleotide long non-coding RNA is filed under the name Erythranthe guttata (spotted monkey flower). RNAcentral describes it as "long non-coding RNA (EGUT_LNC002586)". The record is from RNAcentral. Lineage: Eukaryota; Viridiplantae; Streptophyta; Magnoliopsida; Lamiales; Phrymaceae.